Molecule: ribosomal RNA, 539 nt
Filed under: uncultured bacterium
Lineage: Bacteria
Description: bacterial SSU rRNA
Rfam family: Bacterial small subunit ribosomal RNA
Source: RNAcentral
GAGGAAUAUUGGUCAAUGGGCGCGAGCCUGAACCAGCCAAGUAGCGUGCAGGAUGACGGCCCUAUGGGUUGUAAACUGCUUUUGUAUGGGGAUAAAGUCAAUCACGUGUGAUUGUUUGCAGGUACCAUACGAAUAAGGACCGGCUAAUUCCGUGCCAGCAGCCGCGGUAAUACGGAAGGUCCAGGCGUUAUCCGGAUUUAUUGGGUUUAAAGGGAGCGUAGGCUGGAGAUUAAGUGUGUUGUGAAAUGUAGACGCUCAACGUCUGAAUUGCAGCGCAUACUGGUUUCCUUGAGUACGCACAACGUUGGCGGAAUUCGUCGUGUAGCGGUGAAAUGCUUAGAUAUGACGAAGAACUCCGAUUGCGAAGGCAGCUGACGGGAGCGCAACUGACGCUUAAGCUCGAAGGUGCGGGUAUCAAACAGGAUUAGAUACCCUGGUAGUCCGCACAGUAAACGAUGGAUGCCCGCUGUUAGCGCCUGGCGUUAGCGGCUAAGCGAAAGCAUUAAGCAUCCCACCUGGGGAGUACGCCGGCAACGGUG